Molecule: non-coding RNA, 29 nt
Filed under: Mus musculus (house mouse)
Lineage: Eukaryota; Metazoa; Chordata; Mammalia; Rodentia; Muridae
Source: RNAcentral
UGCAUUUCAGAUCCCCUGAGAAAGGUAGA